RNAcentral lists this ribosomal RNA (417 nucleotides) under uncultured bacterium. Its description in RNAcentral is "bacterial SSU rRNA". It matches the Rfam family "Bacterial small subunit ribosomal RNA", at positions 362 to 776 of the family's 1533-position model. The record is from RNAcentral.
UAUUGGUCAAUGGGCGCAAGCCUGAACCAGCCACGUCGCGUGAAGGAAGACGGCCCUACGGGUUGUAAACUUCUUUUGCAAGGGAAUAAAGUGGGCCACGUGUGGCCUUUUGCAAGUACCUUGCGAAUAAGGAUCGGCUAACUCCGUGCCAGCAGCCGCGGUAAUACGGAGGAUCCGAGCGUUAUCCGGAUUUAUUGGGUUUAAAGGGUGCUCAGGCGGGACAUUAAGUCGGCGGUGAAAUUUUGCGGCUCAACCGUAAAAGUGCCUUCGAAACUGGUAUCCUUGAGUGUGGAUGAGGUAGGCGGAAUUUGUGGUGUAGCGGUGAAAUGCAUAGAUAUCACGAGGAACUCCGAUUGCGCAGGCAGCUUACUAAGCCAUAACUGACGCUCAAGCACGAAGGCGUGGGGAUCAAACAGG